AGCUCCCCGCCGCCUGAGUGCCUGUUUGCUGCCUCUUACUUCUCCAUCUAGCCGCUGUGAUAAGCGCCCGCCGAAUUGCGGCUGCCGGUCUAGUGGGCGCCGCAGCCUCCCGGGGCCCCGUGGCCGCCGGCCACCAGGAUAGCUGGAAUGGCCUUAGUCAUGAGGCAUUUAGAAUUGUUUCAAGGCGGGAUUAUGCAUCAGAAGCAAUCAAGGGAGCAGUUGCUGGUAUUGAUUUGGGUACUACCAACUCCUGUGUGGCAGUUAUGGAAGGGAAACAAGCAAAGGUGCUGGAGAAUGCUGCAGGUGCCAGAGCCACCCCUUCAUCUGUGGCCUUUACAUCAGAUGGUGAGCGGUGUGUCAGCAUGCCAGCCAAGCGACAGGCUGUCACGAACCCAAACAAUACAUUCUAUGCUACCAAGCGUCUCAUGGGCCGGCGAUAUGAUGAUCCUGAAGUACAGAAAGACGUUUAAAAUGUUCCCUUUAAAAUCGUCCGUGCCUCCAAUGGUGAUGCCUGGGUUGAGGCUCAUGGGAAACUGUAUUCUCCAAGUCAGAUUGGAGCAUUUGUGUUGAUGAAGAUAAAAGAGACUGCAGAAAAUUACUUGGGGCACACAGCAAAAAAUGCUGUGAUCACAGUCCCAGCUUACUUCAAUAACUCGCAGAGACAGGCCACUAAAGAUGCUGGCCAGAUAGCUGGACCGAAUGUGCUUUGGGUGAUUAAUGAGCCCACAGCUGCUGCUCUUGCCUAUGGUCUGGACAAAUCAGAAGACAAAGUCAUUGCUGUAUAUGAUUUAGGAGGUAGAACUUUUGACAUUUCUAUCCUGAAAAUUCAGAAAGGAGUAUUCGAGGUGAAAUCCACAAAUGGGAACGCUUUCUUAGGUGGGGAAGACUUUGGCCAGGCCUUGCUACGGCACACUGUGAAGGAGUUCAAGAGAGAGACUAGGGUUGAUUUGACCAAAGACAACAUGGCACUUCAGAGGGUACAGGAAGCUGCUGAAAAGGCUAAGUGUGAACUCUUCUCAUCUGUACAGACUGACAUCAAUUUGCCUUUUCUUACAAUGGAUUCCUCUGGACCCAAGCAUUUGAAUAUGAAGCUGACCUGUGCUCAAUUUGAAGAGAUUGUCACUGAUCUAAUCAGAAGGACCAUCACUCCAUGCCAAAAAGCUAUGCAAGAUGCAGAAGUCAGCAAGAGUGACAUAGCAGAAGCGAUCCUUGUGGGUGGCAUGACUAGGAUGCCCAAGGUUCAGCAGACUGUGCAGGAUCUUUUUGGCAGAGCACCAAGUAAAGCUGUCAAUCCUGAUGAGGUUGUGGCCAUUGGAGCUGCCAUUCAGGGAGGUGUGUUGGCUGGCCAUGUCACAGAUGUGCUGUUCCUAGAUAUCACUCCCCUGUCUCUGGGUAUUGAAACUCUAGGAUGUGUCUUUACCAAACUUAUUAAUAGGAACACCACUAUUCCAACCAAGAAGAGCCAGGUAUUCUCUACUGCCGCUGACGGUCAGACGCAAGUGGAAAUUAAAGUUUGUCAGGGUGAGAGAGAGAUAGCUGGAGACAACAAACUCCUUGGACAGUUUACUUUGAUUGGAAUUCGACCAGCCCCUUGUGGAGUUCCUCAGAUUGAAGUUACAUUUGACAUUGAUGCCAAUGGGAUCGUACAUGUUUCUGCUAAAGAUAAGGGCGCAGGACGUGAGCAGCAGAUUGUAAUCCAGUCUUCUGGUGGGUUAAGCAAAGAUGAUAUUGAAAAUAUGGUUAAAAAUGCAGAGAAAUAUGCUGAGGAAGACCAGCGAAAGAAGGAACGAGAUAAAGCAAUUAAUAUGGCUGAAGGAGUCAUUCAUGAUACAGAAGCAAAGAUGGAUGAAUUCAAGGACCAAUUGCCUGCUGAUGAGUACAACAAGCUAAAAGAAGAGAUUUCCAAAAUGAGGGAGCUCCUGGCUAGAAAAGACAGUGAAACAGGAGAAAACAUUAGACAGGCAGCAACUCUCUUCAGCAGGCAUCAUUGAAGCUCUUCGAAAUGGCAUACAAAAAGAUGGCAUCUGAGCGAGAAGGCUCUGGAAGUUCUGGCACUGGGGAACAAAAGGAAAAUCAAAAGAAGGAGAAACAGUAAUAGCAGAAAUUUUGAAGCCAAAAGGACAAUAACGUGAAGCUUAGGAGUGAAGAGACUUCCUGAGCAGAAAUGGGCAAACUUCAGUCUUUUUACUGUGUUUUUGCAGUAUUCUAUACAGAAUUUCCUUAAUUUGUAAAUUUAGUGACCAUUAGCUAGUGACCAAUUUAACGGGCGGUGAUUCUAACAGUAUAAAGUUCACAAUGUUCUAUGUCCCUAGCCUGUCAUUUUUCAGCUGCAUGUAAAAGGGGGUAGGAUGGAUUAAUUGAUCAUUAUAAA
Sapajus apella (tufted capuchin) is the source of this 2371-nucleotide RNA transcript. It is a transcript of the gene named stress-70 protein, mitochondrial pseudogene, with no coding region annotated. The record is from RefSeq and is a predicted model, not a curated record. The transcript has a single exon. NCBI's taxonomy places the organism in Eukaryota, Metazoa, Chordata, Mammalia, Primates, Cebidae.